Molecule: non-coding RNA, 23 nt
Filed under: Arabidopsis thaliana (thale cress)
Lineage: Eukaryota; Viridiplantae; Streptophyta; Magnoliopsida; Brassicales; Brassicaceae
Source: RNAcentral
GGCGGAACUAUGUUGAAGAUUAG